GAAAUAUAUCAAACAAAUAAAGUUUUCUUUUGUUUGUAAUCACUUUAUUACACACUUCAGGUGUCAAAAUGUAAAAACCCAUCAUGAGCUUAUCAACACUGUAACAAGUAGAAAACUAUUUUUCUUUUGGUCUUCUUCUAAUUCCAUUUUCCUUCUCUCCUGAUAUUGUUAUUAAUUAUUCUGAUGACAUAAAAAGUAAUAAAGCAUAUGG
Molecule: long non-coding RNA, 211 nt
Filed under: Brassica napus (rape)
Lineage: Eukaryota; Viridiplantae; Streptophyta; Magnoliopsida; Brassicales; Brassicaceae
Description: long non-coding RNA (BNAP_LNC001928)
Source: RNAcentral